Molecule: ribosomal RNA, 424 nt
Filed under: uncultured bacterium
Lineage: Bacteria
Description: partial 16S ribosomal RNA
Rfam family: Bacterial small subunit ribosomal RNA
Source: RNAcentral
GAAUAUUGGACAAUGGGCGAAAGCCUGAUCCAGCUAUGCCGCGUGUGUGAAGAAGGUCGUCGGAUUGUAAAGCACUUUAAGUUGGGAGGAAGGGCAGUAAGCGAAUACCUUGCUGUUAUGACGUUACCGCCAGACGAAGCACUGGCUAACUAUGUGCCAGCAGCCGCGGUAAUCCAGAGGGUGCGAGCGUUAAUCGGAAUUGCUGGGGGGGAAGCGCUCGUAUGUGGUUCGUUAAGUUGGAUGUGCAAUCCCCGGGCUCAACCUGGGAACUGCAUCCAAAACUGGCGAGCUAGAGUAGGGCAGAGGGGGGUGGAAUUUCCUGUGGAGCGGUGAAAUGCGUAGAUAUAGGAAGGAACACCAGUGGCGAAGGCGACCACCUGGGCUCAUACUGACACUGAGGUGCGAAAGCGUGGGGAGCAAACAG